AUUGAACGCUGGCGGCAUGCUUUACACAUGCAAGUCGAACGGUAACAGGGUGCUUGCACCGCUGACGAGUGGCGAACGGGUGAGUAAUGCAUCGGAAUGUACCGUGUAAUGGGGGAUAGCUCGGCGAAAGCCGGAUUAAUACCGCAUACGCCCUGAGGGGGAAAGUGGGGGACCGAAAGGCUUCACGUUAUACGAGCAGCCGAUGUCUGAUUAGCUAGUUGGUGAGGUAAAGGCUCACCAAGGCGUCGAUCAGUAGCGGGUCUGAGAGGAUGAUCCGCCACACUGGGACUGAGACACGGCCCAGACUCCUACGGGAGGCAGCAGUGGGGAAUUUUGGACAAUGGGCGCAAGCCUGAUCCAGCCAUGCCGCGUGUCUGAAGAAGGCCUUCGGGUUGUAAAGGACUUUUGUCCGGGAGCAAAUCCUAGUGGUUAAUACCUACUGGGGCUGAGAGUACCGGAAGAAUAAGCACCGGCUAACUACGUG
RNAcentral lists this ribosomal RNA (484 nucleotides) under uncultured bacterium. Its description in RNAcentral is "partial 16S ribosomal RNA". It matches the Rfam family "Bacterial small subunit ribosomal RNA", at positions 30 to 507 of the family's 1533-position model. The record is from RNAcentral.